GAGUUUGAUCUUGGCUCAGGAUGAACGCUGGCGGCGUGCCUAAUACAUGCAAGUCGAGCGAGCGGACGAGAAGCUUGCUUCUCUGAUGUUAGCGGCGGACGGGCGAGUAACACGUGGAUAACCUACCUAUAAGACUGGGAUAACUUCGGGAAACCGGAGCUAAUACCGGAUAAUAUUUUGAACCGCAUGGUUCAAAAGUGAAAGACGGUCUUGCUGUCACUUAUAGAUGGAUCCGCGCUUGCAUUUAGCUAGUUGGUAAGG
RNAcentral lists this ribosomal RNA (261 nucleotides) under uncultured microorganism. Its description in RNAcentral is "partial 16S ribosomal RNA". It matches the Rfam family "Bacterial small subunit ribosomal RNA", at positions 9 to 257 of the family's 1533-position model. The record is from RNAcentral.